Molecule: ribosomal RNA, 357 nt
Filed under: uncultured Leotiomycetes
Lineage: Eukaryota; Fungi; Ascomycota; Leotiomycetes
Description: SSU rRNA
Rfam family: Eukaryotic small subunit ribosomal RNA
Source: RNAcentral
AAGUAUAAGCAAUCUAUACAGUGAAACUGCGAAUGGCUCAUUAAAUCAGUUAUCGUUUAUUUGAUAGUACCUUACUACUUGGAUAACCGUGGUAAUUCUAGAGCUAAUACAUGCUAAAAACCUCGACUUCGGAAGGGGUGUAUUUAUUAGAUAAAAAACCAAUGCCCUUCGGGGCUCCUUGGUGAUUCAUGAUAACUUAACGAAUCGCAUGGCCUUGUGCCGGCGAUGGUUCAUUCAAAUUUCUGCCCUAUCAACUUUCGAUGGUAGGAUAGUGGCCUACCAUGGUUUCAACGGGUAACGGGGAAUUAGGGUUCUAUUCCGGAGAGGGAGCCUGAGAAACGGCUACCACAUCCAAGG